This 254-nucleotide ribosomal RNA is filed under the name uncultured bacterium. RNAcentral's name for it is "partial 16S ribosomal RNA". It matches the Rfam family "Bacterial small subunit ribosomal RNA", at positions 524 to 776 of the family's 1533-position model. The record is from RNAcentral.
UACGGAGGGUGCAAGCGUUGUCCGGAUUCAUUGGGUUUAAAGGGUGCGCAGGCGGGACAUUAAGUCAGGGGUGAAAGACGGUUGCUCAACAAUCGCAGUGCCUUUGAUACUGGUGUUCUUGGGUGACCUUGAGGUAGGCGGAAUGGGUGGUGUAGCGGUGAAAUGCAUAGAUACCACCCAGAACUCCGAUUGCGAAGGCAGCCUACUGGAGGUUUACCGACGCUCAGGCACGAAAGCGUGGGGGAUCAAACAGG